This 253-nucleotide ribosomal RNA is filed under the name uncultured bacterium. RNAcentral describes it as "partial 16S ribosomal RNA". It matches the Rfam family "Bacterial small subunit ribosomal RNA", at positions 524 to 776 of the family's 1533-position model. The record is from RNAcentral.
UACAGAGGUCCCAAGCGUUGUUCGGAUUCAUUGGGCGUAAAGGGUGCGUAGGCGGCGCCGUAAGUCGGAUGUGAAAUCUCGGGGCUCAACCCUGAAACUGCAUUCGAUACUGCGGUGCUAGAGGACUGGAGAGGAAACUGGAAUUCACGGUGUAGCAGUGAAAUGCGUAGAUAUCGUGAGGAAGGCCUGUGGCGAAGGCGGGUUUCUGGACAGUUCCUGACGCUGAGGCACGAAGGCCAGGGGAGCAAACGGG